This 275-nucleotide ribosomal RNA is filed under the name uncultured bacterium. RNAcentral describes it as "partial 16S ribosomal RNA". It matches the Rfam family "Bacterial small subunit ribosomal RNA", at positions 399 to 691 of the family's 1533-position model. The record is from RNAcentral.
GCGUGAGUGAUGAAGGCCCUAGGGUUGUAAAGCUCUUUCGGCGGGGAAGAUAAUGACGGUACCCGCAGAAGAAGCCCCGGCCAACUUCGUGCCAGCAGCCGCGGUAAUACGAAGGGGGCUAGCGUUGCUCGGAAUCACUGGGCGUAAAGCGCACGUAGGCGGGUUGCUAAGUCGGGGGUGAAAUCCUGGAGCUCAACUCCAGAACUGCCUUCGAUACUGGCGGCCUUGAGUCCGGGAGAGGUGAGUGGAACUCCGAGUGUAGAGGUGAAAUUCGU